This 253-nucleotide ribosomal RNA is filed under the name uncultured bacterium. Its description in RNAcentral is "partial 16S ribosomal RNA". It matches the Rfam family "Bacterial small subunit ribosomal RNA", at positions 524 to 776 of the family's 1533-position model. The record is from RNAcentral.
UACAGAGGGUGCGAGCGUUAAUCGGAAUUACUGGGCGUAAAGCGUGCGUAGACGGUAGCGUAAGUCAGAUGUGAAAGCCCCGGGCUCAACCUGGGAAUUGCAUUUGAGACUGCUCUGCUCGGGUGCGGAAGAGGGAAGCGGAAUUUCCGGUGUAGCGGUGAAAUGCGUAGAUAUCGGAAGGAACACCAGUGGCGAAAGCGGUUCUCUGGGACGGUACUGACGCUGAGACGCGAAAGCGUGGGGAGCGAACAGG